CCUACGGGAGGCAGCAGUGGGGAAUAUUGGACAAUGGGGGAAACCCUGAUCCAGCAAUGCCGCGUGAGUGAUGAAGGCCUUAGGGUCGUAAAGCUCUUUUACCAGGGAUGAUAAUGACAGUACCUGGAGAAUAAGCUCCGGCUAACUCCGUGCCAGCAGCCGCGGUAAUACGGAGGGAGCUAGCGUUGUUCGGAAUUACUGGGCGUAAAGCGUGCGUAGGCGGUUAUUCAAGUCAGAGGUGAAAGCCCGGGGCUCAACCCCGGAACGGCCUUUGAAACUAGAUAACUAGAAUCUUGGAGAGGUCAGUGGAAUUCCGAGUGUAGAGGUGAAAUUCGUAGAUAUUCGGAAGAACACCAGUGGCGAAGGCGACUGACUGGACAAGUAUUGACGCUGAGGUACGAAAGCGUGGGGAGCAAACAGGAUUAGAUACCCUGGUAGUCCACGCCGUAAACGAUGAUAACUAGCUGUCCGGACACUUGGUGUUUGGGUGGCGCAGCUACGACAUUAAGUUAUCCGUCCGUCGGGUAGGUACGGUCGCGAGAAUUAAAACGUUAAAGGUAAAGUUAGUACGGCGUGAGACGUGCCGAACGGACGACGACGAGGGAGUAGG
This 610-nucleotide ribosomal RNA is filed under the name uncultured bacterium. Its description in RNAcentral is "bacterial SSU rRNA". The stretch from base 1 to 518 matches the Rfam family "Bacterial small subunit ribosomal RNA", at positions 338 to 873 of the family's 1533-position model. The record is from RNAcentral.